GCAAAACACCAACAACCCUAAAAAUUGAAGCUUUUUGAGAAGGGUGCAUCUUCGAGUUUAGAUCUUCAUCAUCAAAAGGAGGAAGAUCAAAGUGAAGAAAGAAGAAAGAAGAAUGAAGAAGAACAUGAUGAGUCUUUUGAUUGGAAUGAUUGGUGCAACCUUAACUCUAUUUGCUUACUCACAAACCUUAUUAUCACCAAGUCAAUGCAUAACACUUGGUCUUGUUGUCCUCAUGUUGGGUUUGCUUGUAGGAGAAGGUCUUAUAUCUUUCUAAUUCUUCCUUUCUCUUCUUUUUCUCUUUGAGAUAAAACAUGGAUUAAGUGUUGUUUUAAUUGUUCUCUAAUUAGAAAUAAAAUCUUAUCAAUAUAUAGUUUCAUGACAAAACUUAUAUAGGGUAUCUUAAAUACAUGUUGCUUUUCUUUUUUAAUUACAAUUAAAAUUCCAUUUUUAUAAUCUAGCUAAUGAAGAUCUAUAGCAAAAAUAUUAUGUGAUUAUCAAUAAAAUUUCAAUUUCAAAUGAAAAAAAAAAUACAUAUUUGAAUAUUUU
RNAcentral lists this long non-coding RNA (546 nucleotides) under Vigna radiata. RNAcentral's name for it is "long non-coding RNA (VRAD_LNC000074)". The record is from RNAcentral. Lineage: Eukaryota; Viridiplantae; Streptophyta; Magnoliopsida; Fabales; Fabaceae.